Molecule: ribosomal RNA, 348 nt
Filed under: Triticum aestivum (bread wheat)
Lineage: Eukaryota; Viridiplantae; Streptophyta; Magnoliopsida; Poales; Poaceae
Description: partial small subunit ribosomal RNA
Source: RNAcentral
AUGGCCGCCGCCGACUACGACCGCGCGUACCGCCCCUACGCGCCCUCCUCCGCCGCCGACUACGACCGCCCCUACCGCAACGAGAUCGUGCCCUACGGCGACCGCCGCAUCGACCUCGUCGUCAAGCCGCCGCCGCCCACCAGGUCCCCGCCGCCGCCGUUGCCGGUCACCAAGAGCGGAGGCGGAGGCGGGAUAGGCUCCGCCUGGUGCUUCAGCGACCCGGAGGUGAAGAGGCGGCGUCGGGUGGCGAGCUACAAGGCGUACUCGGUGGAGGGAAAAGUCAAGGCCUCCUUCCGCCGGGGCUUCCGCUGGAUCAAGGACAAGUGCACGGGCUUCAUCCAUGGCUGA